GGUGAUGUAGUGUAAUGGUAUCACAACACGUUGUGGAUUCGAGCCCUCGCCGGCUUCGAUCAAGCAACGCCGUGUUAAUCUGAGUUCGAUUCUCAGCAUCGCCA
Molecule: non-coding RNA, 104 nt
Organism: Saccharata proteae CBS 121410
Lineage: Eukaryota; Fungi; Ascomycota; Dothideomycetes; Botryosphaeriales; Saccharataceae
Source: the annotation of a GenBank genome assembly